RNAcentral lists this ribosomal RNA (548 nucleotides) under uncultured Acidobacteriota bacterium. RNAcentral describes it as "bacterial SSU rRNA". It matches the Rfam family "Bacterial small subunit ribosomal RNA", at positions 38 to 618 of the family's 1533-position model. The record is from RNAcentral. Lineage: Bacteria; Pseudomonadati; Acidobacteriota.
GGCGGCGCGCUUAACACAUGCAAGUCGCACGAGAAAGUGGAGCAAUCCAUGAGUACAGUGGCGUACGGGUGAGUAACACGUGGAUCAUCUACCUUUUAGUGGGGCAUACCCCCGGGAAACUGGGGACAAUACCGCAUAAGCUCGAAAGAGGAAAGCCGCAAGGCGCUGAAAGAGGAGUCCGCGGUCGAUUAGCUUGAUGGCGGGGUAAUGGCCCACCAUGGCGAAGAUCGAUAGCCGGCCUGAGAGGGCACACGGCCACACUGGCACUGAAACACGGGCCAGACUCCUACGGGAGGCAGCAGUGGGGAAUCUUGCACAAUGGAGGAAACUCUGAUGCAGCGACGCCGCGUGAGUGAUGAAGCCCUUCGGGGUGUAAAGCUCUUUCGACGGGAACGAUAAUGACGGUACCCGAAGAAGAAGCUGCGGCUAACUACGUGCCAGCAGCCGCGGUAAUACGUANGCAGCGAGCGUUGUUCGGAAUUACUGGGCGUAAAGAGUGUGUAGGCGGUGCUCUAAGUCUGUCGUGAAAUCUCCCGGCUUAACUGGGA